GCGCGUCCUCGCGCGUGUGCAUGUAUGUAUGUAUGUAUGGGCGUGCGUCUGUGUAUUUUGAAUUUAAAAUGUUUUAACUCGGAAGGAUCUGGAUCACAGGUCAUUUCAUCUGAGAUCAAUCCGCACGCAACAGCUGGAAUCACUUACUCUUUCACACAAGGAAGGACACAAGUCACCCGUUUCCUCAAGUUCACGUCAGAGGGAUACAUAGCGAGACAGUCUCCGCUUGGACUGGCUGAGGAAAGUCUCCUAAAUGGCCCUGGAGAUGUUCUGACUGACUUUGGAGGCUUUUUGGACUGUUUUAUGCCCUCUAUUUAAAGACUUAAUUCUGUAUGUUCAGUCUGUAUGAUAAGUGAAUAAGUGAAUAAAAAGCUUUUGUUUUUAUGUGA
Misgurnus anguillicaudatus (oriental weatherfish) is the source of this 389-nucleotide non-coding RNA. NCBI's taxonomy places the organism in Eukaryota, Metazoa, Chordata, Actinopteri, Cypriniformes, Cobitidae. The record is from RefSeq and is a predicted model, not a curated record.